GAACGCUGGCGACAGGCUUAACACAUGCAAGUCGAGCGCCCCGCAAGGGGAGCGGCAGACGGGUGAGUAACGCGUGGGAAUCUACCUUUUGCUACGGAAUAACUCAGGGAAACUUGUGCUAAUACCGUAUGUGCCCUUCGGGGGAAAGAUUUAUCGGCAAAGGAUGAGCCCGCGUUGGAUUAGCUAGUUGGUGAGGUAAAGGCUCACCAAGGCGACGAUCCAUAGCUGGUCUGAGAGGAUGAUCAGCCACACUGGGACUGAGACACGGCCCAGACUCCUACGGGAGGCAGCAGUGGGGAAUAUUGGACAAUGGGCGCAAGCCUGAUCCA
Molecule: ribosomal RNA, 329 nt
Filed under: Aquamicrobium lusatiense
Lineage: Bacteria; Pseudomonadati; Pseudomonadota; Alphaproteobacteria; Hyphomicrobiales; Phyllobacteriaceae
Description: bacterial SSU rRNA
Rfam family: Bacterial small subunit ribosomal RNA
Source: RNAcentral